Molecule: ribosomal RNA, 253 nt
Filed under: uncultured bacterium
Lineage: Bacteria
Description: partial 16S ribosomal RNA
Rfam family: Bacterial small subunit ribosomal RNA
Source: RNAcentral
UACGAACUGUGCGAACGUUAUUCGGAAUCACUGGGCUUACAGGGUGCGUAGGCGGCUUGUCAAGUAGGGUGUGAAAGCCCCCGGCUCAACCGGGGAAUGGCGCCCUAAACUGGCGAGCUAGAGUGAGAUAGGGGUGUGUGGAACUUCCGGUGGAGCGGUGAAAUGUGUUGAUAUCGGAAGGAACGCCGGUGGCGAAAGCGACACACUGGAUCUUGUCUGACGCUGAGGCGCGAAAGCCAGGGGAGCGAACGGG